Long non-coding RNA from Cyanistes caeruleus (blue tit), 2120 nucleotides. NCBI's taxonomy places the organism in Eukaryota, Metazoa, Chordata, Aves, Passeriformes, Paridae. The record is from Ensembl.
GUUUUGGGGUGAUUUUGGGUGAUUUAGGGGUGAUUUAGGGUGAUUUUGGGGCGAUUCGGGGCGGUUCUGGGCGCUCCCCUGACCUGAGGGCGCGGCUGAGCUUGUCGUAGUUCAUGUGGGGCUUGCACUUGCGCACCCCCCAGAGCCGCGCCACCUCGUCGGGGUCCUUGAUGACGAACUCGCCGUAGUCGCCCUGCCAGGCGAUGACCUCGCGGUACUGCUCCUGCCGCAGCAGCUCCAGGAUGAAGUGCCACAGCUGGAUCUGCCGCGAGCCGGGGCUCGACUCCGCCUUGUACGCCCACUCGGGGAACGCGAAACCUGCGGGGACAGCGGCGUGACGUCAUCGGCGUGACGUCAUCGGCGUGACGUCAUCGGCGUCGCUGCCAGUGCCGUGAUGUCACCGCCAUCGUCAUCAUCAUCAUUAUCGUUAUCAUCAUUGUGAUGCCAUCGUCACUGUGACAUCCGUGUGAGGUCAUCAUCACCGUCAUCAUCACCAUCAUCAUCAUCAUCACUGUGACGUCGUCACUGUGACGUCAUCAGUGCGACUUCAUCAUCAUCAUUAUCAUCAUCAUCAUCAUCAUUAUCAUCGUCAUUGUUGUCAUUGUUAUCAGCAGUGUGACAUCGUGAAUCGGUGUGAUGUCAUCAUCAUCAAUAUGAUAUCAUCAAUGUGACGUCAUCAGUGUGACAUCAUCUGUGUGACAUGUGUGUGACAUCAUCAUCACUGUGACACCCUGCUGUGCCCACUCGGGGAACGUGAACCCUGAGGGGACACGUGUGACGUCAUCGAGGUGACAUCAUCACCGCUGUGACACCCCCGGUGUCACUGCUGGGCCCGCCUGGAGCCGUGGGGGACACGAGGUCCUCACCUGGAUCUGGGCGGGCAGCACUGGGGCUUCCAGCUGUGUCCAGGUGUGUCCCCAGGUGUCCCCAGGUGUGCCCAGGUGUGUCCCAGACCCCCCCAGGUGUCCCCAGGUGUCCCCCCCGUACCUGGGGCCCAGAGCGCGGGCACGGGCGCCGUGAGGAGCAGGUCGGACAGGCAGGUGCAGUCCAUGGCCAGGGUCACACCUGGGGGGGGAGGGGNNNNNNNNNNNNNNNNNNNNGCGUGACGUCAUCGGCGUGACGUCAUCGGCGUCGCUGCCAGUGCCGUGAUGUCACCGCCAUCGUCAUCAUCAUCAUUAUCGUUAUCAUCAUUGUGAUGCCAUCGUCACUGUGACAUCCGUGUGAGGUCAUCAUCACCGUCAUCAUCACCAUCAUCGUCAUCAUCACUGUGACGUCGUCACUGUGACGUCAUCAGUGCGACUUCAUCAUCAUCAUCAUCAUCAUCACCGUCAUCAUCACCGUCAUCAUCACCGUCAUCAUCAUCAUCAUCACUGUGACAUCGUCACUGUGACGUCAUCAGUGCGACUUCAUCAUCAUCAUCAUCAUCAUCAUCAUCAUCAUCACUGUGACGUCAUCACUGUGACGUCAUCAGUGCGACUUCAUCCUCAUCAUUAUCAUCAUUAUCAUCAUCAUCAUCGUUAUCAUCGUUGUGAUGCCAUCGUCACCGUGACGUCCGUGUGAUGUCAUCAUCACCCUCAUCACCCUCAUCAUCAUCAUCACUGUGACGUCAUCACUGACAUCAUCAGUGUUACUUCGUCAUCAUCAUCAUCAUCAUCAUCAUUGUUAUCGUCAUCGUUAUCAGCAGUGUGACAUCAUCACUGUGACGUCAUCACUGACAUCAUCAGUGCGACUUCAUCAUCAUCAUCAUCAUCAUCAUCAUCAUCGUUAUCAUCAUCGUUAUCAGCAGUGUGACAUCAUCAUCGGCGUGACGUCAUCGGCGUCAUUGCCAGUGCUGUGACGUCACUGUUGUCGUCGGUGUGACGUCAUCGUUAUCGCCAUAAUCAUCGUCAUCAUCAGCGUGACGUCACCAGCGUGACGUCAUCAGUGUGGCAUAUGUGUGAUGUCAUCAUCGUCAUCAUCAUCACCAUCAGUGUGACAUCAUCAUCAUUAUCGUCAUUAUCACCCUUAUAAUCAUUGUCAUCAUCAGUAUGACGUCAUCGGUGUGACGUCAUCACCACCAUCAUCAUCAUCAUCAUCAUCACUGUGACGUUGCCCCUGUGACGUCAUCAGUGUGACGUCAU